Molecule: unclassified non-coding RNA, 455 nt
Filed under: Hevea brasiliensis (rubber tree)
Lineage: Eukaryota; Viridiplantae; Streptophyta; Magnoliopsida; Malpighiales; Euphorbiaceae
Source: RNAcentral
AGGGUGGAGCGUGUGGACAUGAAAUCUGGAACUUCUAAAGAAAAUUGAGCUUUAUCUGGGCUCGCCAACUUCUCUGCAAAACAUUUGUAUUGGCUUGGAAACUUACUUGCUUGCCUGCUCUCCUUCCACUCACAGAUGGAAUCAUCCUGCAUUUUCUUCACUCGACCAUCCGUAACUCACCCACUACACCGCCCAAAAGUUGCCAUUUCUCAAGAAUGGUCAUGGCGGGAUCAAUCAAUUUAUUAUGCCAUGCCUACCACUACUGAUAAUAGGGGGAUCAAUGAAAUCUGUCUUGCCAUGCCUUCCAUUUCUGAACUUGUGCUGUCUGAAUGGCGAAACCUUGCUUAGCAAUGACAUCUCAGACCUGAAACUUUGGUUUAAAACUCUUAAAUGCCAACAUCUUGAUUUAGUUCAUCAUGCAACGCCUCUACAUCCUUAUGUGCAUCAGCCCAUCA